This 253-nucleotide ribosomal RNA is filed under the name uncultured bacterium. Its description in RNAcentral is "partial 16S ribosomal RNA". It matches the Rfam family "Bacterial small subunit ribosomal RNA", at positions 524 to 776 of the family's 1533-position model. The record is from RNAcentral.
UACGGAGGGGGCUAGCGUUGUUCGGAAUUACUGGGCGUAAAGCGCACGUAGGCGGCUUUGUAAGUUAGAGGUGAAAGCCCAGGGCUUAACUCUGGAAUUGCCUUUAAGACUGCAUCGCUAGAAUCGUGGAGAGGUGAGUGGAAUUCCGAGUGUAGAGGUGAAAUUCGUAGAUAUUAGGAAGAACACCGGUGGCGAAGGCGGCCAUCUGGCUCGGUACUGACGCUCAGGCGCGAAAGCGUGGGGAGCAAACAGG